This 200-nucleotide ribosomal RNA is filed under the name uncultured bacterium. RNAcentral describes it as "partial 16S ribosomal RNA". It matches the Rfam family "Bacterial small subunit ribosomal RNA", at positions 29 to 258 of the family's 1533-position model. The record is from RNAcentral.
AACGAACGCUGGCGGCAGGCUUAACACAUGCAAGUCGAGCGCCUCGCAAGAGGAGCGGCAGACGGGUGAGUAACGCGUGGGAAUCUACCUAGUUCUACGGAACAACACAGGGAAACUUGUGCUAAUACCGUAUACGCCCUACGGGGGAAAGAUUUAUCGGAAUUAGAUGAGCCCGCGUAAGAUUAGCUAGUUGGUGGGGU